UACGUAGGGACCAAGCGUUGUCCGGAAUCAUUGGGCGUAAAGCGCGCGUAGGUGGCCAUUUAAGUCCGCUGUGAAAGUCAAAGGCUCAACCUUUGAAAGCCGGUGGAUACUGGAUGGCUAGAGUACGGAAGAGGCGAGUGGAAUUCCUGGUGUAGCGGUGGAAUGCGCAGAUAUCAGGAGGAACACCAAUAGCGAAGGCAGCUCGCUGGGACGUUACUGACACUGAGGCGCGAAAAGCGUGGGGAGCGAACAGG
This 254-nucleotide ribosomal RNA is filed under the name uncultured bacterium. Its description in RNAcentral is "partial 16S ribosomal RNA". It matches the Rfam family "Bacterial small subunit ribosomal RNA", at positions 524 to 776 of the family's 1533-position model. The record is from RNAcentral.